RNAcentral lists this ribosomal RNA (750 nucleotides) under Priestia megaterium. Its description in RNAcentral is "bacterial SSU rRNA". It matches the Rfam family "Bacterial small subunit ribosomal RNA", at positions 53 to 784 of the family's 1533-position model. Lineage: Bacteria; Bacillati; Bacillota; Bacilli; Caryophanales; Bacillaceae. The record is from RNAcentral.
UCAUGCAAGUCGAGCGAACUGAUUAGAAGCUUGCUUCUAUGACGUUAGCGGCGGACGGGUGAGUAACACGUGGGCAACCUGCCUGUAAGACUGGGAUAACUUCGGGAAACCGAAGCUAAUACCGGAUAGGAUCUUCUCCUUCAUGGGAGAUGAUUGAAAGAUGGUUUCGGCUAUCACUUACAGAUGGGCCCGCGGUGCAUUAGCUAGUUGGUGAGGUAACGGCUCACCAAGGCAACGAUGCAUAGCCGACCUGAGAGGGUGAUCGGCCACACUGGGACUGAGACACGGCCCAGACUCCUACGGGAGGCAGCAGUAGGGAAUCUUCCGCAAUGGACGAAAGUCUGACGGAGCAACGCCGCGUGAGUGAUGAAGGCUUUCGGGUCGUAAAACUCUGUUGUUAGGGAAGAACAAGUACGAGAGUAACUGCUCGUACCUUGACGGUACCUAACCAGAAAGCCACGGCUAACUACGUGCCAGCAGCCGCGGUAAUACGUAGGUGGCAAGCGUUAUCCGGAAUUAUUGGGCGUAAAGCGCGCGCAGGCGGUUUCUUAAGUCUGAUGUGAAAGCCCACGGCUCAACCGUGGAGGGUCAUUGGAAACUGGGGAACUUGAGUGCAGAAGAGAAAAGCGGAAUUCCACGUGUAGCGGUGAAAUGCGUAGAGAUGUGGAGGAACACCAGUGGCGAAGGCGGCUUUUUGGUCUGUAACUGACGCUGAGGCGCGAAAGCGUGGGGAGCAAACAGGAUUAGAUA